Nicotiana tabacum (common tobacco) is the source of this 357-nucleotide non-coding RNA. NCBI's taxonomy places the organism in Eukaryota, Viridiplantae, Streptophyta, Magnoliopsida, Solanales, Solanaceae. The record is from RefSeq and is a predicted model, not a curated record.
UGGGCGGCUGUUGCCAAACUCCUAGGUUGAAAAUUGUAAUUGGACAAGGACAAUGACAGCAGAUUAAAUUAACUAAGGAUGUCACAACUUCUCUAUUGUCGCACAUAUAUAGAGUGUUUAUAGGAAAUGACAUUGUGACCAAUACUCAUUGCUUUUCCAUGACUUUCGGGUUCAUUUUGUGUUGUUUCAUGGUCAUGUAAUACGAAUUUAUGAAUAUAUACAUUUUUUCGUGUGUAUACUAUGCGAUUUUGUUGAAUUUUUUUGACGGACGUUGAUUGACCUGAAUUUCGUCGGUCCAUAGAAAAUGAGCUAGUGACAAAAACUCAUUGCUUCGCUAUUACUUUCGGGUUCAUUUUA